AUGAGUAUAAUUAAAUGAUAAUACUAGGCCGUGACUCUAGAAUCGAAAGUUAAAACCCUUCUACUCAUC
This 69-nucleotide transfer RNA is filed under the name Odorrana hainanensis. Its description in RNAcentral is "tRNA-His". It matches the Rfam family "tRNA". Rfam says of the family: Transfer RNA (tRNA) molecules are approximately 80 nucleotides in length. Their secondary structure includes four short double-helical elements and three loops (D, anti-codon, and T loops). Further hydrogen bonds mediate the characteristic L-shaped molecular structure. tRNAs have two regions of fundamental functional importance: the anti-codon, which is responsible for specific mRNA codon recognition, and the 3' end, to which the tRNAs corresponding amino acid is attached (by aminoacyl-tRNA synthetases). tRNAs cope with the degeneracy of the genetic code in two manners: having more than one tRNA (with a specific anti-codon) for a particular amino acid; and 'wobble' base-pairing, i.e. permitting non-standard base-pairing at the 3rd anti-codon position. The record is from RNAcentral. Lineage: Eukaryota; Metazoa; Chordata; Amphibia; Anura; Ranidae.